CAUGUUUCAGUUACACUCCAUCACCAAUAUUACAGCAAAAGCAGUUACAAAAGCUGCUAGUUUCUUAUACAGGAGGGAACAUGCAACAUGUUGUUCGGUGCUGGUUUGGUUUCAACUCAUAUGAAUUAAAGGCCUAAAUAGGGCAGCAUUGCACCAUCUAUGAUCCAUCUAUAACCAUCUCACAUGCAUAAAUAAUCAUGGAACUGUCUACUUAGACACACAUUUACCCAUUUCACCCAAAAAGAAAACAGAACAUAAAAACAAACAAACAACAAAAACAAUGACCAGGAUGGAUCUGGGCAAUAACUAUAGAUAUUUGCAACAUGUUUUUAUACAACCCCCUUUUUUUCAUUCAACAAAGUUCCCAACUGUUAAAUAAUUUUUUUUUUUUAAAAACACCUAAAAAUAUCUAUAUAUUUUUGCUUUUCUACCUAAAACUCUGAUCGAAAGAAUAUAUAAAUAUGACGCUUUUUUGAUACAGUUAUGGUACUUGACAGUUUCCAAACCUUGGUGGAAGAGACAUAUGUUAGCUGGUGCUACAAAAAGUAUUCACAUUCAACACACAUUAGUGUGUUGAAUGUAAACCAGCUAGAAGGCAGUUGAGAAGUGUGAGAAAAAAACAAAAUAUAUUUCCCUCUGCUGUAUUAAACUAGUCAUGGACACAGUAUUGUACAGCAAUAAUAUGUUGGUUUUAAAAUGACAUGUUUUCAGUAUGGCUUUGCAUAGAUGUAGCUGUAUAUUGGUCAAAAUAACACGGCAGCCAAAAGUGCAGAAAAUGAAGACAUUAGCUGUGCACUAAUCAAACUUUGUCUUUCCCAAUACUGUCAGAUAAACUGUCAGCACUAUGUUAUGAUCUCAAGCCACUCCUUUCACAUUUAAAAAAUGUGAAUAAUGCUGAUUCACUUUUGGAUAACACACUGUCAGCACUUUUCACUGGAUUGAGAUCAGCUCCCCAGAAUAGCAGCCGUCCUUCUAUUUCCAGCAUCUUCUACUAUCCAAGUAGGCAAUCUACUACUACCAAGUAGUAGUAGAUGUACUACAUUAUGCCACUUUUCAUUUGUAACCAAACCUGACAAACUUGGGCAGGAGCAUAUUUUAUUUUAUUUUUUUUUUAUUUUAGUAUCCAUUAUUAAUCCCACGAGGGGAAAUUCUGAUUUUCGCAUCUCUCCCCAGUUGGGGGAGUCAGAGCGACGGGUCAGUCGCGGUACAGCGCCCCUGGAGCAGGAAGGGUUAAGGGCC
Amphiprion ocellaris (clown anemonefish) is the source of this 1239-nucleotide long non-coding RNA. The record is from Ensembl. Lineage: Eukaryota; Metazoa; Chordata; Actinopteri; Pomacentridae.